RNAcentral lists this ribosomal RNA (383 nucleotides) under uncultured soil bacterium. Its description in RNAcentral is "bacterial SSU rRNA". It matches the Rfam family "Bacterial small subunit ribosomal RNA", at positions 26 to 399 of the family's 1533-position model. The record is from RNAcentral.
AGGACGAACGCUGGCGGCGUGCUUAACACAUGCAAGUCGAGCGGUAAGGCCUUUCGGGGUACACGAGCGGCGAACGGGUGAGUAACACGUGGGUGAUCUGCCCUGCACUUCGGGAUAAGCCUGGGAAACUGGGUCUAAUACCGGAUAUGACCUCCUAUCGCAUGGUGGGUGGUGGAAAGAUUUAUCGGUGCAGGAUGGGCCCGCGGCCUAUCAGUCUUGGUUGGUGGGUAAUGGCCUACCAAGGCGACGACGGGUAGCCGACCUGAGAGGGUGACCGGCCACGACCUGGGACUGAGACACGGCCAGACUCCUACGGGAGCGAGCGAGGUAGGGGAAUAUUCGGACAACGAAGUGGGACGAAAGCCUAGAUGACAGCGACGCCG